GCAACAACUAGCAUGGGUUGCUAAUGACUAGGAUUGUGGCAUUGGCUACUGGACAAUUAAAUCAAAUUCAUUUGAAAACCAAUAGAAGAUUAGAGAAAAAGGCUACUGGUUUCAAUGGCAUAUAGAAGUCUUUAGAAAAUAAUAGCCUCCACGUUUGGUUGGAUUUUGCCUAGUCCAGUCAAGGUAAAACAUGCCUCACAAUAUGCAGUAAAACGCUCAGGUUUCAAACAAAUAAGGAUAUGUCAUCAAAACGGAUACUGCCUCCAGUUCAUUGCAAAGUGGUGUGUGACGCGCUGAAGCCUGCCUAGUUGCCUAUACACUUGAAUGGCAAAUGGGAACCAAGCUUUAAUUACCAGUUGAGAAAUAAAAAUGUAUUUUUAAUCGUGGCCAUAGUCUUUUUAAAUGCGAUUGACUUUAGAAUUGUUGUGCAAUGACUGGUCUUAUUAAAGCACAUAUUUCACUCCAGCAGCAACAAACAGCUGUUUGAGCUGUAUCAGCAGCUCUCACGCUACAUCCACUGGUAUUUACAUCAAUGAAGGAUAAAAUGCAUUAUUUCGCAAAGGGAUUUUUUUCCUCUCUCUCUCCCAGACAAUUGGCUGGCACCAAUAAUUAUUAUUAUAUAUUUUUUAAACAAAAGCCGGCUAUUACCGUCUAACGGAAACCCUGUGGCAAGUAAAGUCCAGGCCUGGAGCUCCCGCUGUGCACUCAGACAGCUCAGCCCACAGACAGACAGUACAAUAAACACACACACCCAGACCAGCCGGUUAUAUAAGAGCGCCGCUCUGUUCUACGCUGCACAGCCACCACGCCAGAUUAUGCAACAGGUGCAUAUGUGCUGGUAAAUUGUCUCUCCCGGACUGCCCGAGCGUUGUGCGAAAGCACACCCACACUCUUGUAUGCAUGCACUCACGCUCUGGAAAGCUCACACACGCUCUUGUAUGCAUGCACUCACGCUCUGGAAAGCUCACACACGCUCUUGUAUGCAUGCACUCACGCUCUGGAAAGCUCACACACACUCUUGUAUGCAUGCACUCACGCUCUGGAAAGCUCACACACGCUCUUGUAUGCAUGCACUCACGCUCUGGAAAGCUCACACACGCUCUUGUAUGCAUGCACUCACGCUCUGGAAAGCUCACACACGCUCUUGUAUGCAUGCACUCACGCUCUGGAAAGCUCACACACACUCUUGUAUGCAUGCACUCACGCUCUGGAAAGCACACCCACACUCUCGUAUGCAUGCACUCACGCUCUGGAAAGCUCACACACACUCUUGUAUGCAUGCAAUCACGCUCUGGAAAGCUCACACACACUCUUGUAUGCAUGCACUCACGCUCUGGAAAGCUCACACACACACUCUUGUAUGCAUGCACUCACGCUCUGGAAAGCUCACACACAUGGGGAAGUGUGCAACGUAUAAGCCUGCACGCACACAGUCAGUCAACAGAGACAGAGGUUUAUCUUAAAUCCAUUGUCUUGUAAACUAUGUUUAGUAAAAUUGUGUUCACUAGUAAUUACACAUAGCUGUUAUGACACAAAGCAAAAAAUCCAUCCUACUACUCAAAGUCUAUAUUCCUGUCAGUUCCAACUGACAACACUAAAAUCUAUUCUGUUUACUCUCCAGCCCUAUUUCACUAUUGAUAAGCAGAGUGUCUGAAGAGAACAGCGGGUAAUGAUAAAAUGAACCAUCUGUCUCAUGCUGUAACUACCACUGGGUGAUAACUACACAGUGGGAAAAAAGGAUUGUACUGACGUCAUUAGAAUGUAUUUUAUUAAUUUGUGGACAGGUUGUAUACUGGCUGUAUAAAGAGGUUCUCACGACCGUGGGACACAGAAUUGACCUGAAAAUGACUGAGGCCAGUCAGGUGUGGGUAUUGAAGGGGGCCAGUUAGGUGUGAAGGGGGCCAGUUAGGUGUGAAGGGGACCAGUUAGGUGUGGAUGGGACCAGUUAGGUGUGGGUAUUGAAGGGGACCAGUUAGGUGUGGAUGGGACCAGUUAGGUGUGGGUAUUGAAGGGGACCAGUUAGGUGUGGAUGGGACCAGUUAGGUGUGGGUAUUGAAGGGGACCAGUUAGAUGUGGAUGGGACCAGUUAGGUGUGGGUAUUGAAGGGGACCAGUUAGGUGUGGGUAUUGAAGGGGACCAGUUAGGUGUGAAGGGGACCAGUUAGGUGUGAAGGGGACCAGUUAGGUGUGAAGGGGGCCAGUUAGGUGUGAAGGGGGCCAGUUAGGUGUGAAGGGGGCCAGUUAGGUGUGAAGGGGGCCAGUUAGGUGUGAAGGGGGCCAGUUAGGUGUGAAGGGGGCCAGUUAGGUGUGAAGGGGGCCAGUUAGGUGUGAAGGGGGGCAGUUAGGUGUGGGUAUUGAAGGGGACCAGUUAGGUGUGGGUAUUGAAGUGGGCCAGUCAGGUGUGGGUAUUGAAGUGGGCCAGUCAGGUGUGGGUAUUGAAGGGGGCCAGUUAGUUGUGGGUAUUGAAGGGGACCAGUUAGUUGUGGGUAUUGAAGGGGACCAGUUAGUUGUGGGUAUUGAAGGGGACCAGUCAGUUGUGGGUAUUGAAGGGGGCCAGUCAGGUGUGGGUAUUGAAGGGGACCAGUUAGGUGUGGGUAUUGAAGGGGGCCAGUUAGGUGUGGGUAUUGAAGGGGGCCAGUUAGGUGUGGGUAUUGAAGGGGGCCAGUUAGGUGUGAAGGGGGCCAGUUAGGUGUGAAGGGGGCCAGUUAGGUGUGAAGGGGGCCAGUUAGGUGUGAAGGGGGCCAGUUAGGUGUGAAGGGGGCCAGUUAGGUGUGGGUAUUGAAGGGGACCAGUUAGGUGUGGGUAUUGAAGGGGGCCAGUUAGGUGUGAAGGGGGCCAGUUAGGUGUGAAGGGGACCAGUUAGGUGUGAAGGGGACCAGUUAGGUGUGAAGGGGACCAGUUAGGUGUGAAGGGGACCAGUUAGGUGUGAAGGGGACCAGUUAGGUGUGAAGGGGACCAGUUAGGUGUGAAGGGGACCAGUUAGGUGUGAAGGGGACCAGUUAGGUGUGAAGGGGACCAGUUAGGUGUGAAGGGGACCAGUUAGGUGUGAAGGGGACCAGUUAGGUGUGAAGGGGACCAGUUAGGUGUGAAGGGGGCCAGUUAGGUGUGAAGGGGACCAGUUAGGUGUGAAGGGGACCAGUUAGGUGUGAAGGGGACCAGUUAGGUGUGAAGGGGACCAGUUAGGUGUGAAGGGGACCAGUUAGGUGUGGUUAUUGAAGGGGGCCAGUCAGGUGUGGUUAUUGAAGGGGGCCAGUCAGGUGUGGGUAUUGAAGGGGGCCAGUCAGGUGUGGGUAUUGAAGGGGGCCAGUUAGGUGUGAAGGCUUAGGAGGGUGGGGUGCUGCAGGGGAACAGAGUAAAUGGGCAGAGAUGCCAAGGUAACCUGCCCAAAUAACUAUACUGUUGCACACAUCUACAGUCGUAUGAAAAAGUUUGGGCACCCCUCUGAGGCUGCAUAAUAAUUUACUCUGUCGUUACGGAAAAUGAUCACAGUGGCAUGCCAUUCAUUUUCUAAUAAAAGCUGAGUACUGGGAUAUUGUCCAGACAAAGAUUUUUAGUGUAGCAAUAUUAAGUCGUAUGAAAUUAAAUUAGAUGAAGGAUGGUGAGAACGGUCAAAAACAGCCCACAGACCACCUCCAAAGACCUACAACAUCUUGCUGCAGAUGGCGUCACUGUGCAUCGUUCAACAAUUCAGCGCACUUUGCAAAAGGAGAAGCUGUAUGGGAGAGUGAUGCGGAAGAAGCUUUUUCUGCACACACGCCACAAACAGAGUCGCUUGAGGUAUGCAAACGCACAUUUGGACAAGCCAGCUUCAUUUUGGAAUAAGGUGCUGUGGACUGAUGAAACAAAUAUUGAGUUAUUUGGUCAUAACAAGGGACGUUAUGCAUGGCGGCAAAAGAACACAACGUUCCAAGAAAAACACUUGCUUCCCACAGUAAAAUUUGGUGGUGGUUCCAUCAUGCUGUGUGGCUGUGUGGCCAGUGCUGGUACUGGGAAUCUUGUUAAAGUUGAGGGUCGCAUGGAUUCCACUCAAUAUCAGCAGAUUCUUGGGAAUAAUGUUGAAGAAUCAGUCACAAAGUUGAAGUUACGCCGGGGAUGGAUAUUUCAACACGACAACGACCCAAAACACUGCUCAAAAUCUACCCGAGCAUUUAUGCAGAGGAACAAGUACAAUGUUCUGGAAUGGCCAUCCCAGUCCCCAGACCUGAAUAUCAUUGAG
Oncorhynchus keta (chum salmon) is the source of this 4215-nucleotide long non-coding RNA. RefSeq lists it as uncharacterized. The transcript is spliced from 4 exons. Lineage: Eukaryota; Metazoa; Chordata; Actinopteri; Salmoniformes; Salmonidae. The record is from RefSeq and is a predicted model, not a curated record.